UACGUAGGGUGCAAGCGUUAAUCGGAAUUACUGGGCGUAAAGCGUGCGCAGGCGGUUUUUUAAGUCAGAUGUGAAAGCCCCGGGCUCAACCUGGGAAUUGCAUUUGAAACUGGAAAACUAGAGUGUGUGAGAGGGGGGUAGAAUUCCAAGUGUAGCGGUGAAAUGCGUAGAGAUUUGGAGGAAUACCAGUGGCGAAGGCGGCCCCCUGGCACAACACUGACGCUCAGGUGCGAAAGCGUGGGGAGCAAACAGG
This 253-nucleotide ribosomal RNA is filed under the name uncultured bacterium. RNAcentral's name for it is "partial 16S ribosomal RNA". It matches the Rfam family "Bacterial small subunit ribosomal RNA", at positions 524 to 776 of the family's 1533-position model. The record is from RNAcentral.